ACUUAUUUCAUAGGCUGCGUUCCUUAAAACUGUGUAACAGACAUAAAUUCAGACGCUUCACUUCAGUCAUAUAAGUCUUUUUUAUUGUACGUCUCCCGUUGUGUCAUAAAUAAAAGAAGGCUACCAGCCACCAGUCAUCAAAGAGCGUCAUUUCUCAUUGAACACGAGGAAAUUGUGCAGAAGCUCACACAAGAACAGUGUAUCCAUUUGAUCAUCUCCCCAAGUCCCCUGACUGAACCAACUACUCAUUUCACCAGUUCUGAAGAGGAAGGAACUUCAAAGUGUGUUCAGGAAUGUAUAUCUGUGUCAGUUUAGACCUGGAGCAGCAGGUUGGUGCUCCCACUGGUGACCAGAUUGCCAAGACCUGUGGAGAUCCACUGCUGGGCACUACACAGAACUGAAGACCUGAUUUGCACCAUAAAUAGAGCCAAGGGACGUGCUAUGAGUUCACAAGAGCAGCACCAGCACCUAGUAUGUAUGAAUAUAAUAAGAAACAGUUUUUUUGAAGAGAUAGAAAUAUGUGGGGAAAGUAAAGUGAUAAAAUAUGUACAAAAUAUCUACACAUAAAAUCAUAUAUA
Molecule: long non-coding RNA, 578 nt
Organism: Paramormyrops kingsleyae
Lineage: Eukaryota; Metazoa; Chordata; Actinopteri; Osteoglossiformes; Mormyridae
Source: RefSeq, a predicted model, not a curated record